Molecule: transfer RNA, 85 nt
Filed under: Mariprofundales bacterium
Lineage: Bacteria; Pseudomonadati; Pseudomonadota; Candidatius Mariprofundia; Mariprofundales
Description: tRNA-Leu
Rfam family: tRNA
About the family: Transfer RNA (tRNA) molecules are approximately 80 nucleotides in length. Their secondary structure includes four short double-helical elements and three loops (D, anti-codon, and T loops). Further hydrogen bonds mediate the characteristic L-shaped molecular structure. tRNAs have two regions of fundamental functional importance: the anti-codon, which is responsible for specific mRNA codon recognition, and the 3' end, to which the tRNAs corresponding amino acid is attached (by aminoacyl-tRNA synthetases). tRNAs cope with the degeneracy of the genetic code in two manners: having more than one tRNA (with a specific anti-codon) for a particular amino acid; and 'wobble' base-pairing, i.e. permitting non-standard base-pairing at the 3rd anti-codon position.
Source: RNAcentral
GCCGAUGUGGUGAAAUUGGUAGACACGCCAUCUUGAGGGGGUGGUGGGGAGACCCGUGCUGGUUCGACUCCAGUCAUCGGCACCA